Drosophila montana is the source of this 509-nucleotide long non-coding RNA. RefSeq lists it as uncharacterized. NCBI's taxonomy places the organism in Eukaryota, Metazoa, Arthropoda, Insecta, Diptera, Drosophilidae. The transcript has 3 exons. The record is from RefSeq and is a predicted model, not a curated record.
CAAGUUUUUCUUAAAGACAUUUGAGGCACUAAUCUAAAAAGGCUGACGACAAUAUGUCUGGAAUUUCACUCAGCCCUGUGCUUCUUCUUAUAAUUAUCAAAUUGGUCCUGUCGUCGCCAGUACACGAGAAUGUAGGACCGAAAAUAUAUAGUAAUGUCGAGGUAGCCACUCAGAGAACUGUUCAGCUCGAACACCUUCAUGAUAACGUAUACAGAAUUAUACUUCCUGAUCGUGCGGGAAAUUUGCUUGAGCAAAUUGUGGAAGAAACUGGGCCUGGCCAGUUUACAGGAAUAGAUGACCUAAAACGUGCUUAUGUUGGACCAGCGGGAAGACUAAUCAUAACCAACAAAACGGGUACUAAUUCCUACUUAACCAGGUACACAAUUAUACCGAAGGAACUUCAAUUGCCGGCACCUGCAAAACAAUAACUGCAUAAUCAAGACUUUCACUAAUUUUUGUCAAUCAUUAAAUGCUGUAGAUAAUUGGCUUUAUUGUUGCUCAACAUUUAA